This 492-nucleotide ribosomal RNA is filed under the name uncultured bacterium. Its description in RNAcentral is "partial 16S ribosomal RNA". It matches the Rfam family "Bacterial small subunit ribosomal RNA", at positions 29 to 507 of the family's 1533-position model. The record is from RNAcentral.
AGUGAACGCUGGCGGUAGGCCUAACACAUGCAAGUCGAACGGCAGCACAGUAAGAGCUUGCUCUUACGGGUGGCGAGUGGCGGACGGGUGAGGAAUACAUCGGCAUCUACUUUUUCGUGGGGGAUAACGUAGGGAAACUUACGCUAAUACCGCAUACGAUCUACGGGUGAAAGCAGGAGAUCUUCGGACCUUGCGCGAUUGAAUGAGCCGAUGUCGGAUUAGCUAGUUGGCGGGGUAAAGGCCCACCAAGGCGACGAUCCGUAGCUGGUCUGAGAGGAUGAUCAGCCACACUGGAACUGAGACACGGUCCAGACUCCUACGGGAGGCAGCAGUGGGGAAUAUUGGACAAUGGGCGCAAGCCUGAUCCAGCCAUACCGCGUGGGUGAAGAAGGCCUUCGGGUUGUAAAGCCCUUUUGUUGGGAAAGAAAAGCAGCAGGUUAAAACACCGAUGUUCUGACGGUACCCAAAGAAUAAGCACCGGCUAACUUCGUG